GACGAACGCUGGCGGCGUGCUUAACACAUGCAAGUCGAACGGAAAGGCCCUGCUUUUGUGGGGUGCUCGAGUGGCGAACGGGUGAGUAACACGUGAGUAACCUGCCCUUGACUUUUGGAUAACUUCAGGUAACUGGGGCUAAUACCGGAUAGGAGCCCCUCCUGCAUGGUGGGGGUUGGAAAUUUUCGGCGGUUGGGGAUGGACGCGCGGCUUAUCAGCUUGUUGGUGGGGGAGGGGCUUACCCAGGAUUUGAAGGGGAGCCGGCCUGGGGGGGUGACCGGCCAGCCUGGGACUGAGGGACGGACCGAACAGCCUCGGGAGGGAGGAGGGGGGGAGAAUGAACGAGGGGGGGGAGGCAGAUGGAAGCACCGCCGCGGCGGGGUGGAGGACGUCCGGUUGGAAACCGCUUUCGCCUGUGACGGAGCGUGAGUGACGGUAGUGGGUAAAGAAGCACCGGCUAACUACGUG
This 468-nucleotide ribosomal RNA is filed under the name uncultured bacterium. RNAcentral describes it as "partial 16S ribosomal RNA". It matches the Rfam family "Bacterial small subunit ribosomal RNA", at positions 28 to 507 of the family's 1533-position model. The record is from RNAcentral.